GUGGGCAUCUUACCGGACAGUGCUGGAUUUCUUGGCUUGACUCUAACACUGUCUGGUAACGAUGUUCAA
Non-coding RNA from Ailuropoda melanoleuca (giant panda), 69 nucleotides. Lineage: Eukaryota; Metazoa; Chordata; Mammalia; Carnivora; Ursidae. The record is from Rfam.